GUGCUUCGGUAGCUCAGUUGGUAGAGCAUUUGCCCGUGAAAGGCAAAGGUCCCGAGUUCGAGUCUCGGUCCGGCACA
RNAcentral lists this transfer RNA (77 nucleotides) under Schistocerca americana (American grasshopper). RNAcentral's name for it is "tRNA-Ser". It matches the Rfam family "tRNA". Rfam says of the family: Transfer RNA (tRNA) molecules are approximately 80 nucleotides in length. Their secondary structure includes four short double-helical elements and three loops (D, anti-codon, and T loops). Lineage: Eukaryota; Metazoa; Arthropoda; Insecta; Orthoptera; Acrididae. The record is from RNAcentral.